RNAcentral lists this ribosomal RNA (253 nucleotides) under uncultured bacterium. RNAcentral's name for it is "partial 16S ribosomal RNA". It matches the Rfam family "Bacterial small subunit ribosomal RNA", at positions 524 to 776 of the family's 1533-position model. The record is from RNAcentral.
CACGUAGGGCGCAAGCGUUGUCCGGAAUUAUUGGGCGUAAAGAGCUCGUAGGCGGUCUGUUGCGUCUGCUGUGAAAUCUCGGGGCUUAACCCCGAGCCUGCAGUGGAUACGGGCAGACUAGAGGCAGGUAGGGGAGAAUGGAAUUCCCGGUGUAGCGGUGAAAUGCGCAGAUAUCGGGAGGAACACCGGUGGCGAAGGCGGUUCUCUGGGCCUGACCUGACGCUGAGGAGCGAAAGCGUGGGGAGCGAACAGG